UACGUAGGGGGCAAGCGUUGUCCGGAAUCAUUGGGCGUAAAGCGCGUGUAGGCGGUUCAGUAAGUCUGCUGUGAAAGUCCAGGGCUCAACCCUGGGAUGCCGGUCGAUACUGCCGGACUAGAGUUCGGAAGAGGCGAGUGGAAUUCCCGGUGUAGCGGUGAAAUGCGCAGAUAUCGGGAGGAACACCAAUGGCGAAGGCAGCUCGCUGGGACGUUACUGACGCUGAGACGCGAAGGCGUGGGGAGCAAACAGG
This 253-nucleotide ribosomal RNA is filed under the name uncultured bacterium. RNAcentral describes it as "partial 16S ribosomal RNA". It matches the Rfam family "Bacterial small subunit ribosomal RNA", at positions 524 to 776 of the family's 1533-position model. The record is from RNAcentral.